CGUCACGGACGACCGUGGCGCCUGACCAAUGACGGCGGGACGGCCCGC
Molecule: non-coding RNA, 48 nt
Filed under: Ectopseudomonas oleovorans
Lineage: Bacteria; Pseudomonadati; Pseudomonadota; Gammaproteobacteria; Pseudomonadales; Pseudomonadaceae
Description: Pseudomonas oleovorans mini-ykkC
Rfam family: Guanidine-II riboswitch aptamer (mini-ykkC)
About the family: Simpler in structure and has fewer highly conserved nucleotide positions than the ykkC-yxkD leader.
Source: RNAcentral